Molecule: non-coding RNA, 30 nt
Filed under: Callithrix jacchus (white-tufted-ear marmoset)
Lineage: Eukaryota; Metazoa; Chordata; Mammalia; Primates; Cebidae
Also listed under: 2 other names
Source: RNAcentral
UUUUGGCUAAGAUCAAGUGUAGUAUCUGUU